This is a long non-coding RNA of Rhagoletis pomonella (apple maggot), 1529 nucleotides long. RefSeq lists it as uncharacterized. The transcript has 2 exons. The record is from RefSeq and is a predicted model, not a curated record. NCBI's taxonomy places the organism in Eukaryota, Metazoa, Arthropoda, Insecta, Diptera, Tephritidae.
AAUGUGCUUUCAAAUGCUCAACUUCAAUCACGUUUCGUUAAAACACGAGCAGUGAUCGGAUAACAAACAAUAAGCUAGCGCAGAGACACCAGUUGGUCCGCUUCAGCAUGACAGAGGAACACUUUUGUAAGUACUCCAAUUUACCACAAAUAGACUACAUGAUCCAACGAUUUUUGCAGGGUUGUAUGAGGGGCUGCAAGCGUUCAACGUCAACGUCGCCAAUAACCCAACAAUGCAAAGUGUGAUUUGUAAGAGCGAAUGCGAUGCCAGCGGCCAACCUGCGGAAACGAGUGCGCACUACGAGAAAAACAACAAGAGCAACCAAAGUUAAUUGCUGCAAGCUGCAACUAUUAUGCAUAAACGCAUUUAAAUAUGCAUGCACGGCUGCGUGCGUAUAUGUGAGCUGACGUACAUAGUAUUGCCGUUUUGAUACAGACGUGUCCACAUGGGUAAAUUUUCGUCACAAAUUUAGACGGAUGCUUCUCUUUAUCCUCAGUGUAUAUAUGGAUACCUUUGCCUUAAGUAGCAAGUCAUAACUUGAAAGAAAUCUUUCACUAUUUAUGUAGACUGCAGUGUCUUCGAAUCGGAGAUCUACCCUAUAGAGAGGGCGGCUAGUCUUUUACUUAGUUGUAAAGAUCCAGAAGACAAAGCCACUAUUUUUGUUGACAGUCAGGCAGCAUUGAAGGCAAUAGGAUCUAGAGUGGUGAAAUUGGGAAUUGUAUGGAAAUGUCGCACCACGCUGACGUCACUGAGCCGUAUCAACGUCACUCUAUGCUGGGUUCCCGGACAUAGCAAUAUUGAAGAGAAUGAGUCGGCUGAUGAGAUGCUAGAUGCGGCUCAGAGAUGCCAACAGAAGAAGCGGAUAGCUCCGUACUACCACGGUUUAGUAAUCACGUUAGGAAAAUUAAUGAGUACACCGUGGCCGUGACGAAUGGUUUGUGGAACAAACGGGAAGACUGUGAGAGCACAAGAUUAUUAUGUCCGCGGCUGAGUGGGAAAAACACAAAGGACAUACUGAAACCCAAUCGAUCUGCAGUAAGAGCCCUAACCGGCGUCAUCACAGGACAACGUUCUAUAGCACCAAUGCUCCAACAGUGGCGAAUACCAACGAAUACUCUCUGCAGAGGCUGCCAUGAUGAGGAUGAGGAAGAGUAAAUUAACCACUAUCUGUGUCGAUGUCCAGGUCUACAGACGAAGCGACUCAAGCACUUGGGUUCACGCUUAUUCAGCAAUCUGGGCGAAGUAGCAGAGUUGGAACUGUUGGAUCUCUUCGGCUUCUUCUUUUACAUUUACACCUACCAACUAGCCUCUUUGUAUUCAAAGGAAACUGACCACCAUUCCGAUGACUAAUUUUCGGCCCUAAUUUGACUGUACUAAUAGCUAAGAAAAUCGAAAAUUUGUCUGAUUUCGAUCAACAUGAAUUUGGACAAACUGGAAAUAGACAUAUGUAUUUCUUUAUUUUGGGAGAAUAAUAUUUUGUUUGUGGGAAUCUUGGAAUAAACAUGCAACAUCUACCGUUUAAAAACCAA